GUUGGCAUUACAGUACUCAUAUAAGAGCUAGUCACUGAUUGGCUGAGAGGACACACUCUGUACACAGGAAAACCACACUUCCUGUUGUUGUUGCCAAGGUGCUGUCAUUCAGCCUGAGGAAGAGAGUCCAAAUGUUAUUAUUGAUGGUAUAGGUCUCACACUCUGCUGGUAUUGAUGGAUGGUAUAGGUCUCACACUCUGCUGGUAUUGAUGGAUGGUAUAGGUCUCACACUCUGCUGGUAUUGAUGGGUGGUAUAGGUCUCACUCUGCUGGUAUUGAUGGAUGGUAUAGGUCUCACUCUGCUGGUAUUGAUGGAUGGUAUAGGUCUCACUCUGCUGGUAUUGAUGGAUGGUAUAGGUCUCUUCUUCUUCUUCUUUGGUCUCCUCUGUCCCUGACGAGGCGUUAAACAGGUCUCCUUCCUC
RNAcentral lists this long non-coding RNA (421 nucleotides) under Salmo salar (Atlantic salmon). RNAcentral describes it as "lncRNA (ENSSSAG00000115291.1)". Lineage: Eukaryota; Metazoa; Chordata; Actinopteri; Salmoniformes; Salmonidae. The record is from RNAcentral.